CGGACGGGUGAGUAAUGCUUAGGAAUCUGCCUAUUAGUGGGGGACAACAUUCCGAAAGGAAUGCUAAUACCGCAUACGCCCUACGGGGGAAAGCAGGGGAUCUUCGGACCUUGCGCUAAUAGAUGAGCCUAAGUCAGAUUAGCUAGUUGGUGGGGUAAAGGCCUACCAAGGCGACGAUCUGUAGCGGGUCUGAGAGGAUGAUCCGCCACACUGGGACUGAGACACGGCCCAGACUCCUACGGGAGGCAGCAGUGGGGAAUAUUGGACAAUGGGCGAAAGCCUGAUCCAGCCAUGCCGCGUGUGUGAAGAAGGUCUUCGGAUUGUAAAGCACUUUAAGUUGGGAGGAAGGGCAGUAAGCUAAUACCUUGCUGUUUUGACGUUACCGACAGAAUAAGCACCGGCUAACUUCGUGCCAGCAGCCGCGGUAAUACGAAGGGUGCAAGCGUUAAUCGGAAUUACUGGGCGUAAAGCGCGCGUAGGUGGUUCGUUAAGUUGGAUGUGAAAGCCCCGGGCUCAACCUGGGAACUGCAUCCAAAACUGGCGAGCUAGAGUACGGUAGAGGGUGGUGGAAUUUCCUGUGUAGCGGUGAAAUGCGUAGAUAUAGGAAGGAACACCAGUGGCGAAGGCGACCACCUGGACUGAUACUGACACUGAGGUGCGAAAGCGUGGGGAGCAAACAGGGAUUAGAUACCCUGGUAGUCCACGCCGUAAACGAUGUCGACUAGCCGUUGGGAUCCUUGAGAUCUUAGUGGCGCAGCUAACGCAUUAAGUCGACCGCCCUGGGGGAGUACCGGCCCGCAAGGUUAAAACUCAAAAGGGAAUUGACGG
This 828-nucleotide ribosomal RNA is filed under the name uncultured bacterium. RNAcentral describes it as "bacterial SSU rRNA". It matches the Rfam family "Bacterial small subunit ribosomal RNA", at positions 99 to 916 of the family's 1533-position model. The record is from RNAcentral.